This 253-nucleotide ribosomal RNA is filed under the name uncultured bacterium. RNAcentral's name for it is "partial 16S ribosomal RNA". It matches the Rfam family "Bacterial small subunit ribosomal RNA", at positions 524 to 776 of the family's 1533-position model. The record is from RNAcentral.
UACGUAGGGGGCAAGCGUUGUCCGGAUUUAUUGGGCGUAAAGAGCGUGUAGGCGGUUUGGUAGGUCUGUUGUGAAAACUCGAGGCUCAACCUCGAGACGCCGAUGGAAACCAUCAGACUAGAGUCCGGAAGAGGAGAGUGGAAUUCCUGGUGUAGCGGUGAAAUGCGCAGAUAUCAGGAAGAACACCCGUGGCUAAGGCGGCUCUCUAGGACGGUACUGACGCUGAGACGCGAAAGCGUGGGGAGCGAACAGG